RNAcentral lists this ribosomal RNA (587 nucleotides) under uncultured bacterium. RNAcentral's name for it is "bacterial SSU rRNA". It matches the Rfam family "Bacterial small subunit ribosomal RNA", at positions 102 to 685 of the family's 1533-position model. The record is from RNAcentral.
ACGGGUGAGUAAUACAUCGGAACGUGCCCGAUCGUGGGGGAUAACGGAGCGAAAGCUUUGCUAAUACCGCAUACGAUCUACGGAUGAAAGCAGGGGACCGCAAGGCCUUGCGCGGACGGAGCGGCCGAUGGCAGAUUAGGUAGUUGGUGGGAUAAAAGCUUACCAAGCCGACGAUCUGUAGCUGGUCUGAGAGGACGACCAGCCACACUGGGACUGAGACACGGCCCAGACUCCUACGGGAGGCAGCAGUGGGGAAUUUUGGACAAUGGGCGAAAGCCUGAUCCAGCCAUGCCGCGUGCAGGAUGAAGGCCUUCGGGUUGUAAACUGCUCUUGUACGGAACGAAAAGCCUCUUUCUAAUAAAGAGAGGUCAUGACGGUACCGUAAGAAUAAGCACCGGCUAACUACGUGCCAGCAGCCGCGGUAAUACGUAGGGUGCGAGCGUUAAUCGGAAUUACUGGGCGUAAAGCGUGCGCAGGCGGUGAUGUAAGACAGAUGUGAAAUCCCCGGGCUCAACCUGGGAACUGCAUUUGUGACUGCAUCGCUGGAGUGCGGCAGAGGGGGAUGGAAUUCCGCGUGUAGCAGUGAA